AGCAGAGUUGAACACUUCUCUGCUUGAGGACUAUGAUAAAAAUUCUUUAUUUCUUGCACAUUAUAAUUAUUCAUAGUAGUGAGAUUCAUGAUGCCAAAUUCACACAUACACCUAACAUUUGAUCAAUCUCAUACCUCAAUAACUUCCCUUCUUGUCUUCCUCCUCCCCAUGAAGUGCUUGCUCUACUCUCCUGGUCUUCCUACUAUUAUUGUAAUUUACUUAAUGUGAUGUACAUUAACUUGUAUAUAUUAGAUGAUUUGAUUUUAUUCAUAUACUGUGGUAUAUACAUACCUGGAAAUAGCAUAAUAGGGUAGAUUUUAUCCCCCAGGUACUUUCCUAUGCCUUUUCCCACCUCACUCCUUUCUAUUGAUUCCUUUUCUCUACUGUGUAGUUUUCCUUCCACCAAAUGUUCUUUUGAUGAUAAUACUCUACAGAUAAAAAAAACAUUUUGUGUACUUUAUCAAAUACCAUAGCUGGAUUUGUGAUUAGCAUUAGAAGAAAAGCUGAAACGACCUUAAUUACAACAUAUUUGAAAUUACUUAUGUCAAAUUGGAGGCAUUCAUAGAAAGGAAUCUCAUAAAUCACUUGAAAAUCUAGAAUAUAGAAUGAUGUGAGAAAAUGUUGGUCUAGUAAAGCUCCA
RNAcentral lists this long non-coding RNA (640 nucleotides) under Marmota monax (woodchuck). The record is from RNAcentral. Lineage: Eukaryota; Metazoa; Chordata; Mammalia; Rodentia; Sciuridae.